Molecule: ribosomal RNA, 253 nt
Filed under: uncultured bacterium
Lineage: Bacteria
Description: partial 16S ribosomal RNA
Rfam family: Bacterial small subunit ribosomal RNA
Source: RNAcentral
UACGAAGGGGGCUAGCGUUGUUCGGAAUUACUGGGCGUAAAGCGCGUGUAGGCGGGUCCUUAAGUCAGGGGGGAAAUGCCAAGGCUCAACCUUGGAACUGCCUUUGAUACUGGGGAUCUUGAGUCCGGGAGAGGUGAGUGGAACUGCGAGUGUAGAGGUGAAAUUCGUAGAUAUUCGGAAGAACACCAGUGGCGAAGGCGACUUACUGGACACAUAUUGACGCUGAGGUGCGAAAGCGUGGGGAGCAAACAGG